AUACGUAGGUGGCAAGCGUUGUCCGGAAUUAUUGGGCGUAAAGCGCGCGCAGGUGGUUCCUUAAGUCUGAUGUGAAAGCCCCCGGCUCAACCGGGGAGGGUCAUAGGAAACUGGGGAACUUGAGUGCAGAAGAGGAUAGUGGAAUUCCAAGUGUAGCGGUGAAAUGCGUAGAGAUUUGGAGGAACACCAGUGGCGAAGGCGACUGUCUGGUCUGUAACUGACACUGAGGCGCGAAAGCGUGGGGAGCAAACAGGAUUAGAUACCCUGGUAGUCCACGCCGUAAACGAUGAGUGCUAAGUGUUGGGGGGUUUCCGCCCCUCAGUGCUGCAGCUAACGCAUUAAGCACUCCGCCUGGGGAGUACGGUCGCAAGACUGAAACUCAAAGGAAUUGACGGGG
RNAcentral lists this ribosomal RNA (397 nucleotides) under uncultured bacterium. Its description in RNAcentral is "partial 16S ribosomal RNA". It matches the Rfam family "Bacterial small subunit ribosomal RNA", at positions 523 to 918 of the family's 1533-position model. The record is from RNAcentral.